This is a long non-coding RNA of Solanum tuberosum (potato), 300 nucleotides long. RefSeq lists it as uncharacterized. The record is from RefSeq and is a predicted model, not a curated record. Lineage: Eukaryota; Viridiplantae; Streptophyta; Magnoliopsida; Solanales; Solanaceae. The transcript is spliced from 2 exons.
UUAAAAUAGAAAAGUGUAGAACUUUUGAGCUUUGCUUUGUCUGUCGUUCUUCUGUGCUUCAAUUUGGCAAUUCUGACAUCUUUUUUAGGACCAACUAAGUUGACUGCAUUUUGUUCAGUUAGCUCAGAAUUCAGAUAUGGCAAUCUUGGAUUUCAAAUGUUUCACUUGUAUUCUUGACUGCCAACAGGUAUAUAUUUUCCCCCUUUUUCUUUCCAUUUUGAGAUAUUUUUUUGUUGCAAUUCUAUUAUUCUAUUUCUUUUGAUUCAUGUGUUUAUUGUACCCUUUGAAUUGUCGAUCUCA